UUUGAGGAUUUGGGAGAUUUCAAAGCUGAUGUUGCUCCAUUAACUGUCAAAGAACUAAAAGAUGCAGUGAAAUCACAUUCCUUUAGGGCGCUUGUCGUGAAGAGAGGGAAACUUCAGCUCUAUGCAGGACAACCACUCGCCGAUGCUGAGAUGGCAUUACGAGCCAUGAUUGAGCAAGGCUGAACAACAACCUCCCACUAUGUUACGAUGGCGGAAGGAGUUUUGUAGUUUUUGUAUGUUUUCUUGAGAGUUGGGAAAGUAGUUUUUGGAUUUUGAAGAGCAUUAUUAUACUAGCUUAUUUCCAUUUUUGAUUUGAUUCAAAUUCACAACUGUGUUAGAAGUUUUUUGUGAAUGAUAAAAUCUUUGAAUUCUUUACUACUUUGAAUGUUC
Salvia miltiorrhiza (redroot sage) is the source of this 390-nucleotide long non-coding RNA. RefSeq lists it as uncharacterized. The transcript is spliced from 2 exons. The record is from RefSeq and is a predicted model, not a curated record. NCBI's taxonomy places the organism in Eukaryota, Viridiplantae, Streptophyta, Magnoliopsida, Lamiales, Lamiaceae.